This 846-nucleotide ribosomal RNA is filed under the name uncultured marine bacterium. Its description in RNAcentral is "bacterial SSU rRNA". It matches the Rfam family "Bacterial small subunit ribosomal RNA", at positions 56 to 950 of the family's 1533-position model. The record is from RNAcentral.
UGCAAGUCGAACGAAGUAGCAAUACUUAGUGGCAGACGGGUGAGUAACAUGUAGGUAUCUGCCCUUUGGCCUGGAAUAACACGAGGAAACUUGUGCUAAUACCGGAUAAGUCUUUACGGAGAAAGCUUUAUGCACCAUUGGAUGAGCCUGCACUUGAUUAGUUUGUUGGUGGGGUAAUGGCCUACCAAGACUGUGAUCAAUAGCUGAUUUGAGAGGAUGAUCAGCCACAUUGGGACUGAGACACGGCCCAAACUCCUACGGGAGGCAGCAGUGGGGAAUCUUGCACAAUGGAGGAAACUCUGAUGCAGCGAUGCCGCGUGAGUGAAGAAGGCCUUUGGGUUGUAAAGCUCUUUCGUCGGGGAAGAAAAUGACUGUACCCGAAUAAGAAGGUCCGGCUAACUUCGUGCCAGCAGCCGCGGUAAUACGAAGGGACCUAGCGUAGUUCGGAAUUACUGGGCUUAAAGAGUUCGUAGGUGGUUGAAAAAGUUGGUGGUGAAAUCCCAGAGCUUAACUCUGGAACUGCCAUCAAAACUUUUCAGCUAGAGUAUGAUAGAGGAAAGCAGAAUUUCUAGUGUAGAGGUGAAAUUCGUAGAUAUUAGAAAGAAUACCAAUUGCGAAGGCAGCUUUCUGGAUCAUAACUGACACUGAGGAACGAAAGCAUGGGUAGCGAAGAGGAUUAGAUACCCUCGUAGUCCAUGCCGUAAACGAUGUGUGUUAGACGUUGGAAAUUUAUUUUCAGUGUCGCAGCGAAAGCGAUAAACACACCGCCUGGGGAGUACGACCGCAAGGUUAAAACUCAAAUGAAUUGACGGGGACCCGCACAAGUAGUGGAGCAUGUGGUUUAAU